ACACAUAUCUAUUUUAUCUUAGGAUGUACCACUACCACCUAACUUUUCUUCAUUUUCCUCAUCCUCAUCUUCAUCAAUCAUAUUCAUACAUUCAUCACAACAACACAUAAUUUUUUUUAUUUUAUAUAUAUGGUGGACCAUCACAACAACCCAAAUUCAUGAUUUUCUUCCUAUACACGCGGAAAAAAAAACAAACAUUUUCAACCCUCAAACCUCUUCUCUUCAAUCACACACAUAAUUCAUCUCCAAAUUCCCAAUUUCUCUGCCAUUUUCACAGUGUUUACGACCCAUUUUAUAAAAUCUCGUUUUUGUCUAAGUUUGUGUCAAAGUUUGGAUUUUUAUUGUGGUAGAAGUACCCAUGAGACCCUUUUCGACAGACAACAGAGUGGGUGGAACAUAAGCUGGUUUCAAUACAGAAAUUGAACAGAAAACGCAACUGAGUGGGUGGACCAUCACUUUAUUCCUUCCUUGUCUUUCCUUCUCCCAAAACAACAACAAGUUUAGGAAUUGGGAAAUUCAAUUUGGGGAUUUUGGAAUUGGGAAUUAGGGUUUGGGUUUGUUUGGAAUUGGAAUUGGAAUUGAAAUCCAAUAUUUGAACGAGAGAAGGAAAGUUAAGGAAGUUUUUUUAUUUUUGUUUUACGGUUGGGGCUUGAUGUUGGUGGAAGCAACAAUGGAGAAGAUGAUGGUGUUGACAGUAACGAAGAGGUAUGGAAGAGUGAAGCAUAAGAGGAAGAAGUUCCAUAGGAAAGUGAGGUUAGUGGUGGCUGAUGGAAGAAAUGAUUUCGAAUUUCAAUCUGAACACCGUGGAAAUAACAGUGAAGGAAAAUAACAAAUUUUUUAUUGUUUUUUUUUUCUUUCUUCUGGGUUUGGGGUUGUUGUGAUGAAUAUAUGAAGAUGUAGAAGAGAAAAAUGAAGAAAAGGAAAAAAAAAAAAGGUUAGGUGGUACUGGUAUAGCGUAAGAUAAAAUAGAUAUGUGUAUCCAACGGUCAUCUUUCUUUAAAAAAGAUCAAACGGUUAAAAUUAGUCCAUCAUAGAUAUUAUUUGGGUUAAACUUAAUUGUUAGGAUUUAUUUUGUAAACGGAGGAAAAAUUGAGGGACCAAAAUAUACGUUUUAUUAAUUGUGGGACCAAAAUGAAAACUUGAAAUUAUUUGAGCAACCAUUGGAUCAAAUAAGCCUUUAUUUUUUUUUAAUUUUUUUGACUUGAUAGAUGAAAUGGUAAAGUCAUCAUAAACUCACACACACAAGUGAAGAUGUCGGAUUUGAACCCG
RNAcentral lists this long non-coding RNA (1269 nucleotides) under Medicago truncatula (barrel medic). Its description in RNAcentral is "long non-coding RNA (MTRU_LNC008095)". The record is from RNAcentral. Lineage: Eukaryota; Viridiplantae; Streptophyta; Magnoliopsida; Fabales; Fabaceae.